AACGAACGCUGGCGGCAGGCCUAACACAUGCAAGUCGAGCGCUCUCCUCGGAGAGAGCGGCGGACGGGUGAGUAACACGUGGGAACAUACCCUUUGGUGCGGAAUAGCGGCUGGAAACGGCCAGUAAUACCGCAUGAUGUCUCCGGACCAAAGAUUUAUCGCCAAGGGAUUGGCCCGCGUUGGAUUAGGUAGUUGGUGGGGUAAUGGCCUACCAAGCCGACGAUCCAUAGCUGGUUUGAGAGGAUGAUCAGCCACACUGGGACUGAGACACGGCCCAGACUCCUACGGGAGGCAGCAGUGAGGAAUCUUAGACAAUGGGGGAAACCCUGAUCUAGCCAUGCCGCGUGAGUGAAGAAGGCCUUAGGGUCGUAAAACUCUUUCGCUAGGGAAGAUAAUGACUGUACCUAGUAAAGAAGUCCCGGCUAACUCCG
This 431-nucleotide ribosomal RNA is filed under the name uncultured Paracoccaceae bacterium. RNAcentral describes it as "bacterial SSU rRNA". It matches the Rfam family "Bacterial small subunit ribosomal RNA", at positions 29 to 505 of the family's 1533-position model. Lineage: Bacteria; Pseudomonadati; Pseudomonadota; Alphaproteobacteria; Rhodobacterales; Paracoccaceae. The record is from RNAcentral.